This is a long non-coding RNA of Cyprinus carpio carpio, 1107 nucleotides long. NCBI's taxonomy places the organism in Eukaryota, Metazoa, Chordata, Actinopteri, Cypriniformes, Cyprinidae. The record is from Ensembl.
CCGGGUUGGGAUAGCGCAAGUGAGCUGAACUUCUGCGCUGGUGUAGUGCACUAUCCUCAAUUUAAUACUUUAUUUAAGGAAUUAUUUAUUUUGACGAAAACAGCUCUAUCCUCGUGUGCUUUUAUUAAUACCACUAAGGACGGUCGGAUUCGCUCUUCUCCCAGUAAUUAACGGGUUUAUUGGGAAGUUGAGGUUUACAGGGACAUCCCGGGCUUGCAGUGCCAUCCGAACCUGUGAUUUCUGAAAGCAGGUAAGCCACUGACUAACGCACAUUGCGCCUGUUCUUCACUCCACUGUGCGUGUGACAGCGGCUAACCAGCUUUUGGAUGAGUGCUUGACCUCAGCGUCCCACCGGGGAGUCCUGAAGGGCUCGGGCGGAUACGGCCCCUGGAGGGACGCUUUUGGGCCCCCGUCCCUCCACCGGUCUUUUUGUUCCUGUAGCUCAGCUGCUUGAAACCCAGAGGUUGUGGGUUUGAAUCCCGUGCAACACGUGCUAAGAAAUGGAGUGUAAACGUGUCACAGAGCUCUAGAUGAAGCGGCUUCGCUCAUUUAAAGUUUUAUGCAUAAUAAUAAUAAUAAUGUUGUUUUUGCACGUAAGCAGCAGCUCUGAACUUUGAACUUGUGCGGUUCUGCAAAUCCAGGUACAGUAACAUCAUGUGAAACACACUCGGCCUGUUAGCUGUGCUUUAAUUUAUCAUAUAUAAUAAUUAAACUUUCUCUCUGAUCGGCGGUUUUGGUUUCAUAGAUGUACAGUAAGUGUGUUUUAUUGGAUGUUUUCCUUUUUCAAUAGGUUGGCGAUUUCAUGAUGUGACACGUGAUUGUAUUAUAUUGCCUUAUAAUAUGAAAAUAUAUAUCAAAUAAAAUAUAUCAAAAAUAUGAAAUAAAUUGUAAUGUUUCUCAAUAUCUUACGUUAUAUUAUAUGAACUAUAUAAAAUCUAAAAAUUUUGAAAAUAAAUAUAAAAAUGUUUUGGUUUAGCAAUAAAAUAUUAAACGUAGUCAUGCAAUUUUGCUAAAGAAAUGGGUGAUGUGGUGCAACAAUAUAUUAUUAAGAAAUUAUUAACCAUAUAAAAUGUUACAUUUGGUAUAUAUAUAUAUAUAUAUAUAUAU